Molecule: ribosomal RNA, 425 nt
Filed under: uncultured bacterium
Lineage: Bacteria
Description: bacterial SSU rRNA
Rfam family: Bacterial small subunit ribosomal RNA
Source: RNAcentral
AGGAUCAUUCGCAAUGGGCGCAAGCCUGACGAUGCGACGCUGCGUGGAGGAAGAAGGGCCUCGGCCCGUAAACUCCUGUCAUGGGGGAAAAAGGUCCCCAUGGUGAACAAUCAUGGGGCUUGAUGGUACUCCAAGAGGAAGCCACGGCUAACUCUGUGCCAGCAGCCGCGGUAAUACAGAGGUGGCGAGCGUUGUUCGGAUUUACUGGGCGUAAAGGGCGCGCGGGCGGCUCCGUGUGUCGGUUGUGAAAUCUCCGGGCUCAACCCGGAAAGUGCGGCCGAAACUGCGGAGCUGGAGCAAGGGAGAGGAAAGCGGAACUCAUGGUGUAGCGGUGAAAUGCGUUGAUAUCAUGAAGAACACCGGUGGCGAAGGCGGCUUUCUGGAACUUGGCUGACGCUUAGGCGCGAAAGUAGGGGGAGCAAACA